GGUCAAGCGAACAAGCGCACGCGGUGGAUGCCUAGGCAGUAGGAGGCGAUGAAGGACGUAGUAGCCUGCGAUAAGCCUCGGGGAGCCGGCAAACAGGCUUUGAUCCGGGGAUUUCCGAAUGGGGAAACCCACCCGCGCAAGCGGGUAUCCGUUCCUGAAUACAUAGGGGGCGGAAGCAAACCCGGGGAAUUGAAACAUCUCAGUACCCGGAGGAAAAGAAAUCAAUCUGAGAUUCCGUUAGUAGUGGCGAGCGAACGCGGAACAGCCCGCUGACAUCAAGUGUCGGGACUUUAGAUGAACGGUCUGGAAAGGCCGGCCAUAGACGGUGAUAGCCCGGUAGUCGAAAAGGUUCUGGCAUGGGUCAGCAACGAGUAGGGCGGGACACGUGAAAUCCUGUCUGAAGAUGGGGGGACCAUCCUCCAAGGCUAAAUACUCCCUACUGACCGAUAGUGAACUAGUACCGUGAGGGAAAGGCGAAAAGAACCCCGGUGAGGGGAGUGAAAUAGAACCUGAAACCGCGUGUGUACAAGCAGUGGAAGCCUCGCAAGGGGCGACUGCGUACCUUUUGUAUAAUGGGUCAGCGAGUUAUUUUCAGUGGCAAGCUUAACCGUCUAGGGUAGGCGAAGGGAAACCGAGUCUGAAUAGGGCGUUGAGUCGCUGGGAAUAGACCCGAAGCCGGGCGAUCUAUCCAUGGCCAGGGUGAAGGUGGGGUACAACCUACUGGAGGCCCGAACCCGUUACUGUUGAAAAAGUAUGGGAUGAGCUGUGGAUAGGAGUGAAAGGCUAAUCAAGCUCGGCGAUAGCUGGUUCUCCUCGAAAGCUAUUGAGGUAGCGCCUCGUGUAUCACUCCCGGGGGUAGAGCACUGUUUCGGCUAGGGGGUCGUCCAGACUUACCAAACCGAUGCAAACUCCGAAUACCGGGAAGUGCAGCACGGGAGACACACGGCGAGUGAUAAAAUUCGUCGUGAAGAGGGAAACAACCCUGAUCGCCAGCUAAGGUCCCCAAAUCACGGCUAAGUGGUAAACGAUGUGGAAGGGCCCAGACAGCCAGGAGGUUGGCUUAGAAGCAGCCAUCCUUUAAAGAAAGCGUAAUAGCUCACUGGUCGAGUCAGUCUGCGCGGAAGAUUUAACGGGGCUCAAGCCGUGUACCGAAGCUGCGGGUGGAUCCGGUGCUUGCACUGGAUCUGCGGUAGAGGAGCGUUCCGUAGGCCUGCGAAGGUGGCUCGCGAGAGCUGCUGGAGGUAUCGGAAGUGCGAAUGCUGACAUGAGUAACGAUCAUGCGGGUGAAAAGCCCGCACGCCGUAAGCCCAAGGUUUCCUGCGCAACGUUAAUCGACGCAGGGUGAGUCGGACCCUAAGGCGAGGCCGAAAGGCGUAGUCGAUGGGAAACAGGUUAAUAUUCCUGUACUAGGAGUUGAUGCGAUGGGGGGACGGAGAAGGUUAGACCAGCCGGGUGUUGGUUGCCCCGGUUUAAGCUUGUAGGGAGUGCCUUUAGGAAAAUCCGGAGGCACAAUCCCGAGAAGUGAUGACGAGCGGUACUUCGGUAUUCGCGAAGUGGUUGAUACCACGCUUCCAAGAAAAUCCUCUAAGCUUCAGUCAACUCGUAUCCGUACCGUAAACCGACACAGGUAGGCGAGGAGAGAAUCCUAAGGCGCUUGAGAGAACUCGGGUGAAGGAACUAGGCAAACUGGUACCGUAACUUCGGAAGAAGGUACGCCCCCGGUACGUGAAAGCCCUUGCGGCUGGAGCGGAUGGGGGUCGCAGUGAAAAGGCCGUUGCGACUGUUUAAUAAAAACACAGCACUCUGCAAACACGAAAGUGGACGUAUAGGGUGUGACGCCUGCCCGGUGCCGGAAGGUUAAGUGAUGGGGUCAGCCGUAAGGCGAAGCUCUUGAUCGAAGCCCCGGUAAACGGCGGCCGUAACUAUAACGGUCCUAAGGUAGCGAAAUUCCUUGUCGGGUAAGUUCCGACCUGCACGAAUGGCGUAACGAUAACGGCACUGUCUCCACCCGAGACUCAGUGAAAUUGAAAUCGCUGUGAAGAUGCAGCGUUCCCGUGGCAAGACGGAAAGACCCCGUGAACCUUUACUGCAACUUUACACUGAAUUUGGAACAGGCUUGUGUAGGAUAGGUGGGAGGCACUGAAGCGCAGACGCUAGUUUGCGUGGAGCCAACCUUGAAAUACCACCCUGGUUUGUUCGAAGUUCUAACCUAGACCCGUUAUCCGGGCCGGGGACAGUGUAUGGUGGGUAGUUUGACUGGGGCGGUCUCCUCCCAAAGAGUAACGGAGGAGCGCAAAGGUACCCUCAGCGCGGUCGGAAAUCGCGCAAUGUGUGCAAAGGCAAAAGGGUGCUUAACUGCGAGACACACAAGUCGAGCAGGUGCGAAAGCAGGUCUUAGUGAUCCGGUGGUUCUGUAUGGAAGGGCCAUCGCUCAACGAAUAAAAGGUACUCCGGGGAUAACAGGCUGAUUCCUCCCAAGAGUUCACAUCGACGGGGGAGUUUGGCACCUCGAUGUCGGCUCAUCACAUCCUGGGGCUGUAGCAGGUCCCAAGGGUAUGGCUGUUCGCCAUUUAAAGUGGUACGCGAGCUGGGUUUAGAACGUCGUGAGACAGUUCGGUCCCUAUCUGCCAUGGGCGUUGGAGAUUUGAGGGGAGCUGCUCCUAGUACGAGAGGACCGGAGUGGACGUACCUCUGGUGUUCCGGUUGUCACGCCAGUGGCAUCGCCGGGUAGCUAUGUACGGACGGGAUAACCGCUGAAAGCAUCUAAGCGGGAAGCCCACCCCAAGAUGAGAUCUCCCUGGACCCUCGAGGUCCCUGAAGGUCCGUCGAAGACGACGACGUUGAUAGGCUGGGUGUGUAAGCGCAGCAAUGCGUUCAGCUAACCAGUACUAAUUGACCGUGAGGUUUGACCAU
This 2913-nucleotide ribosomal RNA is filed under the name mine drainage metagenome. RNAcentral describes it as "bacterial LSU rRNA". It matches the Rfam family "Bacterial large subunit ribosomal RNA". The record is from RNAcentral.